UUGGGGUGCUCGAGUGGCGAACGGGUGAGUAACACGUGAGUAACCUGCCCUUGACUUUGGGAUAACUUCAGGAAACUGGGGCUAAUACCGGAUAGGAGCUACUGCUGCAUGGUGGGGGUUGGAAAGUUUCGGCGGUUGGGGAUGGACUCGCGGCUUAUCAGCUUGUUGGUGGGGUAGUGGCUUACCAAGGCUUUGACGGGUAGCCGGCCUGAGAGGGUGACCGGCCACAUUGGGACUGAGAUACGGCCCAG
Molecule: ribosomal RNA, 251 nt
Filed under: uncultured Actinomycetales bacterium
Lineage: Bacteria; Bacillati; Actinomycetota; Actinomycetes; Actinomycetales
Description: partial 16S ribosomal RNA
Rfam family: Bacterial small subunit ribosomal RNA
Source: RNAcentral